This 468-nucleotide ribosomal RNA is filed under the name uncultured bacterium. Its description in RNAcentral is "partial 16S ribosomal RNA". It matches the Rfam family "Bacterial small subunit ribosomal RNA", at positions 28 to 507 of the family's 1533-position model. The record is from RNAcentral.
GACGAACGCUGGCGGCGUGCUUAACACAUGCAAGUCGAACGGAAAGGCCCUGCUUUUGUGGGGUGCUCGAGUGGCGAACGGGUGAGUAACACGUGAGUAACCUGCCCUUGACUUUGGGAUAACUUUUGGAAACUGGGGCUAAUAUCGGAUAGGAGCUCUUGCUGCAUGGUGGGGGUUGGAAAGUUUCGGCGGUUGGGGAUGGACUCGCGGCUUAUCAGCUUGUUGGUGAGGUAGUGGCUUACCAAGGCUUUGACGGGUAGCCGGCCUGAGAGGGUGACCGGCCACAUUGGGACUAAGAGACGGCCCAGACGCCUACGGGAGGCAGCAGGGGAGAAUAUUGCGCAAUGGGCGGAAGCCUGAUGCAGCAACGCCGCGUGCGGGAUGACGGCCUUCGAGUUAUAAACCACUGUCGCCGUUGACGAAGCGUGAGUGACGGUAAUGGAUAAAGAAGCACCGGCUAACUACGUG